AUUGAACGCUGGCGGCAUGCUUUACACAUGCAAGUCGAACGGCAGCGCGGGCUUCGGCCUGGCGGCGAGUGGCGAACGGGUGAGUAAUACAUCGGAACGUGCCCAGUAGUGGGGGAUAGCUCGGCGAAAGCCGGAUUAAUCCCGCAUACGACCGGGGGGUGAAAGCGGGGGAUCUUCGGACCUCGCGCUAUUGGACCGGCCGAUGGCAGAUUAGCUAGUUGGUGGGGUAAAGGCCUACCAAGGCGACGAUCUGUAGCUGGUCUGAGAGGACGACCAGCCACACUGGGACUGAGACACGGCCCAGACUCCUACGGGAGGCAGCAGUGGGGAAUUUUGGACAAUGGGCGAAAGCCUGAUCCAGCAAUGCCGCGUGUGUGAUGAAGGCCUUCGGGUUGUAAAGCACUUUUGGCGGGAACGAAAAGGACUGUGCCAAUACCACGGUUCGAUGACGGUACCCGCAGAAUAAGCACCGGCUAACUACGUG
This 484-nucleotide ribosomal RNA is filed under the name uncultured bacterium. Its description in RNAcentral is "partial 16S ribosomal RNA". It matches the Rfam family "Bacterial small subunit ribosomal RNA", at positions 29 to 507 of the family's 1533-position model. The record is from RNAcentral.